GUACAGCAAAAUAAUAAUAGUUAUCAAAGGUACCAGGAUUAUAAUUUAUAAAAUAUGCAAGAAGCACGUUUCGUCUACAUAAGACUCACCAGUGACGCUCAUAUCGAAAUAUUUGUAAAGCCAAACAAGUAAAAAGUUGGAAGAGAAUUGAGGGUUAGUGUUUCUGAAAUUUCCACCAGAGAUAGACCUCAACCUGCUGAUUAAUUUUACUCCAUUGAAAUUUUCCUCUCACUACUCAAGCUUUUGAGCCCAAAUUUGUAGUUAAACCUCAUGUUCUACUUUUGUAAUCAGAGGCUAUGGUUGUUAAUGGAUCAAAUUCCUUGAUGCAAUUUUUCUUACUUGAUGCAUUAAACAGUCAUGUAAAGUGUAGUUAUAUUAGCCCAGCAGUUUCAAAGGAGAAGAUUUUUGUUUCAACAAAAGGACAAUAGAUUCAAAGGGAUGCAUUAGCUCAUGUGGUUUUAAGGCCAGGCUAGUUUAAAACAUCAACCCCAGACAUAAGUAUCUAUAUAUAAGUGCAAAAAAUCAACAUCAAUGCAGAUUUAUUUUAAAAAUUUGAUGGGGCUUGUAUCCAUGGGACACACAUGAUGCCUCCCCCACUUACAUAUAAUGUAAUGAACAAACCGUUUUUGGUAAAAAGCAUUGUGUAUGAAUUUCAUGACAUUUGGCUGAGGCAAACUAAAGUUACAGAACGGAAAUCAAUUUUGGGAUGUAUGGAUGUAGGGACAGACAAACAGACAAACAAGGAUUAUACUUGAUUUCCUCUCUGUUAUUGUGGGGGCAUUAAAAUACUGUCUCAUUAAAAAACAUUCUAAUUUCAGGAAUUUUGACAGAAAAUGUAACCAAGGAUACUUUUGAUUCGACAAUUGCAUGUAAGUGUUUGAGAAAAAUAGCACUAUUUUUAUAAAUGUUUUCUGUUUAAUAACUUUAUAUGGUAAAAAAAUCAACUCACAAUGUGUUAAUCAAUAACAGUGAUAUCAAUAUGUUAAUUAGAUUUUUUCCAUUGAAUUAUUUAGUAUAAAAUCAAUAUAUAGGUUAUCAUAUUAAGUCUGCACCAGUCAAUAGGUAAUUUCAACCUUCAAACAUAAGUAAAAAUAAAGUAUACAUUUGUAGUGAGCUUCUCAAGUUUAGCACUAUGAUCAUAUUUAGAACAAAUAAAUCAACAUCUAUACAAAUCAUCUUUUUUUUCAAUUUUCAAUGAACUCU
This 1203-nucleotide long non-coding RNA is filed under the name Mytilus galloprovincialis (Mediterranean mussel). Lineage: Eukaryota; Metazoa; Mollusca; Bivalvia; Mytilida; Mytilidae. The record is from RNAcentral.